RNAcentral lists this ribosomal RNA (250 nucleotides) under uncultured bacterium. Its description in RNAcentral is "partial 16S ribosomal RNA". It matches the Rfam family "Bacterial small subunit ribosomal RNA", at positions 524 to 773 of the family's 1533-position model. The record is from RNAcentral.
UACAGAGGGUGCAAGCGUUAAUCGGAAUGACUGGGCGUAAAGGGUGCGUAGGUGGCAUAAUAAGUUAGUUGUGAAAUCCCCGGGCUUAACCUGGGAACUGCAAUUGAUACUGUUAAGCUAGAGUUUGGUAGAGGAUAGUGGAAUUUCCGGUGUAGCGGUGAAAUGCGUAGAUAUCGGAAGGAACACCAGUGGCGAAGGCGACUAUCUGGCCCAAAACUGACACUGAGGCACGAAAGCGUGGGUAGCGAAC